CCUACGGGUGGCAGCAGUGGGGAAUAUUGCACAAUGGGGGAAACCCUGAUGCAGCAACGCCGCGUGCGGGAGGAAGUAUUUCUGUAUGUAAAGCUCUAUCAGCAGGGAAUAGAACAGAAGCUACCUGAAAAAGAAGCCCCGGCUAACUACGUGCCAGCAGCCUCGGUAAUACGUAGGGGGCAAGCGUUAUCCGGAGUUACUGGGUUUAACGGUAGCGUAGACGGAAAGGCAAGUCAGAAGUGAAAGCCCAAGGCUCAACCAUGGAACUGCCUUUGAAACUGUCAAACUAGAGUACGGGAGAGGUAAGAGGAAUUCCUAGUGUAGCGGUGAAAUGCGUAGAUAUCAGGCGGAACACCAGUGGCGAAGGCGUCUUACUAGACCAAAACUGACGUUGAGGCACGAAAGCGUGGGGAGCAAACAGGAUUAGAUACCCUUGUAGUC
This 441-nucleotide ribosomal RNA is filed under the name uncultured bacterium. RNAcentral describes it as "partial 16S ribosomal RNA". It matches the Rfam family "Bacterial small subunit ribosomal RNA", at positions 338 to 795 of the family's 1533-position model. The record is from RNAcentral.